ACGACCUUACUUGAACAGGAUCUGUUCUAUAGGCUCAUACGAAGUUUGGUGGAUGACUCGUGGCCAUUAGAUCAGAGCGUUAUUAAUAGACUCCAUAGCCCUCGGGCAUGGUGCCAUAGAUGAUCGUUCUUAAAUGGUCUAAUGAUUAUCUUACAAACU
Molecule: small nucleolar RNA, 159 nt
Filed under: Solanum lycopersicum (tomato)
Lineage: Eukaryota; Viridiplantae; Streptophyta; Magnoliopsida; Solanales; Solanaceae
Description: Plant small nucleolar RNA U3
Rfam family: Plant small nucleolar RNA U3
About the family: Small nucleolar RNAs (snoRNAs) are involved in the processing and modification of rRNA in the nucleolus.
Source: Rfam by way of RNAcentral